AGCGGAGCUGCGGACCGCGCGCGCCGGGCUGCCUGCAUCCGCGAGGCGAUGAUACGCGUCCCGCAGCCACGGGAGUGACGGCAGCUCGAGCGGGGACCCCGCGGGCUCUGCCUCCGCGCGCCACCGCCCACUCCGCUCCGCUCCGGUCCGGUCCGGUGCGGUGCGCUGCGCUGCGCUGUGGAGAGCCGGGAACGGCGCGCUCCGUCCGGGGUACACAGGGAUCCACGCGAGCAAAACCAACCUCUAGGGAGACGGUCCCUUUCCAAAGCAAGCGAAGGCAAGAGCAGAUGGGUACCGAGUCCAGUGCUAAAGAGAACAGUCAAGGCCUCCUACUGGGAGCAGGUUAAAGCAGAUGCAAGCAGAGCUCCUGGAGGAGCAUUGGAACACCUCCCGGCCACAAUCUACCCCACAGGUGGAAGAUAUCACCACGUGGGAAAGAGCUUCACCAUUGUUUGCAAACCUUAUCACCAAGCACUGGUACAUCCUGCAGGCCCC
RNAcentral lists this long non-coding RNA (495 nucleotides) under Scleropages formosus (Asian bonytongue). RNAcentral describes it as "lncRNA (ENSSFOG00015026880.1)". Lineage: Eukaryota; Metazoa; Chordata; Actinopteri; Osteoglossiformes; Osteoglossidae. The record is from RNAcentral.